RNAcentral lists this ribosomal RNA (372 nucleotides) under uncultured organism. Its description in RNAcentral is "partial 16S ribosomal RNA". It matches the Rfam family "Bacterial small subunit ribosomal RNA", at positions 527 to 896 of the family's 1533-position model. The record is from RNAcentral.
GUAGGUGGCAAGCGUUGUCCGGAAUUAUUGGGCGUAAAGCGCGCGCAGGGCGGUCCUUUAAGUCUGAUGUGAAAGCCCACGGCUCAACCGUGGAGGGUCAUUGGAAACUGGGGGACUUGAGUACAGAAGAGGAAAGCGGAAUUCCAAGUGUAGCGGCGAAAUGCGUAGAGAUUUGGAGGAACACCAGUGGCGAAGGCGGCUUUCUGGUCUGUAACUGACGCUGAGGCGCGAAAGCGUGGGGAGCAAACAGGAUUAGAUACCCUGGUAGUCCACGCCGUAAACGAUGAGUGCUAAGUGUUAGGGGGUUUCCGCCCCUUAGUGCUGCAGCUAACGCAUUAAGCACUCCGCCUGGGGAGUACGGCCGCAAGGCUG